ACGAUGAACCAGGCCGCCGCCUGAUCGUCCGCCCGCUGUGACGGAAGGUCAGGAGGAAAGUCCGGGCUCCGCAGGGCAUGAUGCCGGGUAACGCCCGGGAGGAGGGUGCCCAAGCGCCCUUCGACAGACAGCGCAACAGAAAAUAUACCGCCCGGCCUGGCCGGGAAAGGGUGAAAAGGCGGGGUAAGGGCCCACCUCGGCGGUGGUAACACUGCCGGAAAGAUUUCGGCGUAAACCGCUGUUUUUCAGCUUCGCCGGAGAAUGGCAAGCCUCAUCAGGAGCAAAGUUAAGCAGUAACAGGGCGGCCCGCCUUUUGUUACGGGUAAACUGCUCGGGUAAAACCCGGGACGCCGUCCGCAAGGCCGGCGCAAGACAGAUGGCGGCUCGGCGGCGGCUAAGGCCGUUGCCGAAACAGAACCCGGCUUAUGGUUCAUCGUUUUU
RNAcentral lists this RNase P RNA (441 nucleotides) under Treponema sp. Its description in RNAcentral is "RNase P RNA component class A". It matches the Rfam family "Bacterial RNase P class A". Rfam says of the family: Ribonuclease P (RNase P) is a ubiquitous endoribonuclease, found in archaea, bacteria and eukarya as well as chloroplasts and mitochondria. Its best characterised activity is the generation of mature 5'-ends of tRNAs by cleaving the 5'-leader elements of precursor-tRNAs. The record is from RNAcentral. Lineage: Bacteria; Pseudomonadati; Spirochaetota; Spirochaetia; Treponematales; Treponemataceae.